AAAAAUUUAGUUGCAAAUAACGACAACUACGCUUUAGCAGCUUAAUGCUAACCGAUGCCAGAAUUGACUAUGGUUUGAAGCAUCGGCAAAUAUCAUAGUCUAGCCAAGCUGUGUUGCUUGGACACAGUUUGGUUAAAUUAAUCAAGCUCGCUUUUACACCCUGCUCCUCGGGUCGUAANAGUCAAAAAGCCAAUUGAGUGAGCUAUGCAUGUAGAAGUUAGGCUGAAGGAUUGNCGGACGCGGGUUCAAUUCCCGCCGCCUCCACCA
This 267-nucleotide transfer-messenger RNA is filed under the name Gammaproteobacteria bacterium TMED225. Its description in RNAcentral is "partial transfer-messenger RNA". It matches the Rfam family "transfer-messenger RNA", at positions 81 to 374 of the family's 374-position model. Rfam says of the family: Bacterial tmRNA, also known as 10Sa RNA or SsrA, is named for its dual tRNA and mRNA-like properties. The record is from RNAcentral. Lineage: Bacteria; Pseudomonadati; Pseudomonadota; Gammaproteobacteria.